GAUGAACGCUGGCGGCGUGCCUAAUACAUGCAAGUCGAGCGAACGGACGAGAAGCUUGCUUCUCUGAUGUUAGCGGCGGACGGGUGAGUAACACGUGGAUAACCUACCUAUAAGACUGGGAUAACUUCGGGAAACCGGAGCUAAUACCGGAUAAUAUUUUGAACCGCAUGGUUCAAAAGUGAAAGACGGUCUUGCUGUCACUUAUAGAUGGAUCCGCGCUGCAUUAGCUAGUUGGUAAGGUAACGGCUUACCAAGGCAACGAUGCAUAGCCGACCUGAGAGGGUGAUCGGCCACACUGGAACUGAGACACGGUCCAGACUCCUACGGGAGGCAGCAGUAGGGAAUCUUCCGCAAUGGGCGAAAGCCUGACGGAGCAACGCCGCGUGAGUGAUGAAGGGCUUCGGAUCGUAAAACUCUGUUAUGAGGGAAGAACAUAUGUGUAAGUAACUGUGCACAUCUUGACGGUACCUAAUCAGAAAGCCACGGCUAACUACGU
RNAcentral lists this ribosomal RNA (496 nucleotides) under uncultured bacterium. RNAcentral's name for it is "partial 16S ribosomal RNA". It matches the Rfam family "Bacterial small subunit ribosomal RNA", at positions 28 to 506 of the family's 1533-position model. The record is from RNAcentral.